AAUCACCACCGGUGGUUUGUAUACUGGUACCGGCGGAGGACACGGCUUCUUCGGGAUCACUACCGGUGGAAUGUAGAUUGGUGGAUGCUCUAUCUUCGGCGGCGGCUUGUAAACCGGAACUGGAGGUGGGUGCUCUAUCUUCGGCGGUGGAAUGACUAUCUUUGGCGGCGGCUUGUGGACUGGAACCGGCGGUGGAUCAACUUUCUUCGGCGGUUUAGGCGGACAAGGCUUCUUCGUUGGUGGUUUGUAGACUGGCACCGGCGGUGGAAGCUCCACCUUCGGCGGCUUAGGCGGACAUGGCUUCUUCGGUGGCUUGUGUACCGGAACUGGAGGUGGGUGCUCUAUCUUUGGCGGUGGCUUGUAAACCGGAACCGAAGGUGGGUGCUCUAUCUUUGGCGGUGGCUUGUAAACCGGAACCGAAGGUGGGUGCUCUAUCUUUGGCGGUGGCUUGUAAACCGGAACUGGAGGUGGGUGCUCUAUCUUUGGCGGUGGCUUGUAAACCGGAACCGGAGGUGGGUGCUCUAUCUUCGGCGGUUUAGGUGGACAAGGCUUCUUAGGAAUAGGCGGUGGAAGCUCCACCUUUGGUGAUGGCUCGUAAAUCGGGACAGGUGGGGGAACCUCUUUCUUUGGCGGUGGAUCGUAAACCGGAACCGGAGGCGGAACCUCUUUCUUUGGCGGUGGCUCGUAAACCGGAACCGGAGGUGGAACCUCCACAGGAGGGCUGAAUUUAGGUGGACAUGGCUUCUUGAGAAACGGUGGAAGUUCCAAAGGUGGAGGUAAAGGGAACGGAUGAUCAAAGCCCUUAAAAGGUGGCAACUUAGGCAUAUGCCAGAAGAAUUUCGAAACACAAAUUUCGGGUGAAAAUUUCAGAUUUUGUUUGAGACCC
This 886-nucleotide long non-coding RNA is filed under the name Arabidopsis lyrata. RNAcentral describes it as "long non-coding RNA (ALYR_LNC000727)". Lineage: Eukaryota; Viridiplantae; Streptophyta; Magnoliopsida; Brassicales; Brassicaceae. The record is from RNAcentral.